GUGCAGCAGGCGAGAAUUUUUCUCAAUGGGGGCAACCCUGAAGGAGCGACGCCGCGUGGAGGAUGAAGGCUUUCGGGUUGUAAACUCCUGUCAUUUGAGAACAAGUGGCCGAACCUAACUACUUCGGCCUUGAUAGUAUCAGAAGAGGAAGGGACGGCUAACUCUGUGCCAGCAGCCGCGGUAAUACAGAGGUCCCAAGCGUUGUUCGGAUUCAUUGGGCGUAAAGGGUGCGUAGGUGGCGCCGUCAGUGGGGUGUGAAAUUUCGGAGCUUAACUCCGAAACUGCAUUCCAUACUGCGGUGCUUGAGGACUGGAGAGGAGACUGGAAUUUACGGUGUAGCAGUGAAAUGCGUAGAGAUCGUAAGGAAGACCAGUGGCGAAGGCGGGUCUCUGGAUAGUUCCUGACACUGAGGCACGAAGGCCAGGGGAGCAAACGGGAUUAGAUACCCGCGUAGU
Molecule: ribosomal RNA, 455 nt
Filed under: uncultured organism
Description: bacterial SSU rRNA
Rfam family: Bacterial small subunit ribosomal RNA
Source: RNAcentral